Molecule: long non-coding RNA, 278 nt
Filed under: Homo sapiens (human)
Lineage: Eukaryota; Metazoa; Chordata; Mammalia; Primates; Hominidae
Description: non-protein coding lnc-PRKD1-12:1
Source: RNAcentral
GUAGGAGGUGGGAGGAUCACUUGAGCCCAAAAGUUCGAGACCAGCCUCGGCAACAAAGCAAAACUCUGUCUCUGAAAAUUAAAUAAAUAUUAUCACCUCUCUUUUAAAACUCAAAAACUCUUAAUAAACACUUCACAAUCAACUAACAAGUCUAUGAAAUAAUGCGUAAUUUUAUUAGUCAUCAGGAAAUUGCAAACUGAAAACUCAAAUUAAAACUCACUCUAGAAUUACUAAAGUUAAAAAAGGUGGAAAAUAUCAACUGCUAGAAAGGAUGUGGA